Molecule: ribosomal RNA, 253 nt
Filed under: uncultured bacterium
Lineage: Bacteria
Description: partial 16S ribosomal RNA
Rfam family: Bacterial small subunit ribosomal RNA
Source: RNAcentral
UACGAAGGGGGCUAGCGCUGUUCGGAAUUACUGGGCGUAAAGCGCACGUAGGCGGAUUUGUAAGUCAGGGGUGAAAUCCCGGGGCUCAACCUCGGAACUGCCUUUGAUACUGCAAAUCUCGAGUCCGGAAGAGGUGAGUGGAAUUCCUAGUGUAGAGGUGAAAUUCGUAGAUAUUAGGAAGAACACCAGUGGCGAAGGCGGCUCACUGGUCCGGUACUGACGCUGAGGUGCGAAAGCGUGGGGAGCAAACAGG